GAGCCCAAGAUUGAAAGCUGGCGUCUUCGGCGUCCGCAUUGUAAUCUCAAGAAGUGUUUUCCGCUUCGGACCAUGCCUAAGUCCCUUGGAAAAGGGCAUCAUAGAGGGUGAUAAUCCCGUACAUGGCAUGGAGCGCCCGAAGCUUUGUGAUACGCUUUCUACGAGUCGAGUUGUUUGGGAAUGCAGCUCAAAAUGGGUGGUAAAUGCCAUCUAAGGCUAAAUAUUGGGGAGAGACCGAUAGCGAACAAGUACAGUGAUGGAAAGAUGAAAAGAACUUUGAAAAGAGAGUUAAACAGUACGUGAAAUUGCCAAAAGGGAAGGGUAGGAGGUCAGAGAUGCGGCCUGGGAUUCAGCCUUGCUUUUGCUUGGUGUUUUUCCCAGAUUGCAGGCCAACGUCGGUUUUGGGCACUGGAGAAGGGUAGGAGGAACGUGGCACCUCUCGGGGUGUGUUAUAGCCUCCUACUGGAUACAGCGACCGAGACCGAGGACAGCAGCGUACUCGCAAGAGCGGGCCUUCGGGCACCUUUACGCUUAGGGCGUUGGCAUAAUGGCCCUCUACCACCCGUCUUGAA
This 572-nucleotide ribosomal RNA is filed under the name uncultured Pseudozyma. Its description in RNAcentral is "LSU rRNA". It matches the Rfam family "Eukaryotic large subunit ribosomal RNA", at positions 104 to 658 of the family's 3401-position model. The record is from RNAcentral. Lineage: Eukaryota; Fungi; Basidiomycota; Ustilaginomycetes; Ustilaginales; Ustilaginaceae.